RNAcentral lists this ribosomal RNA (372 nucleotides) under uncultured organism. RNAcentral describes it as "bacterial SSU rRNA". It matches the Rfam family "Bacterial small subunit ribosomal RNA", at positions 526 to 896 of the family's 1533-position model. The record is from RNAcentral.
CAGAGGUCCCGAGCGUUGUUCGGAUUCACUGGGCGUAAAGGGUGCGUAGGUGGUGAGGUAAGUCGGAUGUGAAAUCUCCAGGCUCAACCUGGAAACGGCAUUGGAAACUACCUUGCUUGAGGGUUUGAGGGGGGACUGGAAUUCUCGGUGUAGCAGUGAAAUGCGUAGAUAUCGAGAGGAACACCGGUGGCGAAGGCGAGUCCCUGGAAAACACCUGACACUGAGGCACGAAAGCUAGGGGAGCAAACAGGAUUAGAUACCCUGGUAGUCCUAGCCCUAAACGGUGCUUGCUUGCUGUAAGAGGAAUCGACCCCUCUUGUGGCGGAGCUAACGCGUUAAGCAAGCCGCCUGGGAAGUACGGUCGCAAGAUUA